Molecule: long non-coding RNA, 426 nt
Filed under: Setaria viridis
Lineage: Eukaryota; Viridiplantae; Streptophyta; Magnoliopsida; Poales; Poaceae
Description: long non-coding RNA (SVIR_LNC007429)
Source: RNAcentral
GAGGGAGGGGGUCGACAGUUGGCGACAAUAGGCAAGCUAACAAUAAGGUAGCGGGAGGCAGGCUUCAAGAUCUCUACGAUGUUUUAUUCAUUCUCUUAUUUUAUUUUUUAUCUAUAAUUUUUUUUCAAAGUUUGUAUAUAUUUUUUAAUCUUUAUACAAAGUUUUUUUUAACAUAUUUGUACAAAAUGUUCCAUACAAAGUUUUUGCGAAAUAUUUUUUCCUAGAUUUUCUUAAACAACUUUGGAUUACUUUGGAUAUUAUUUUUGAAGACAUUUUUUAAUUCUUUUAAUUUUUUUCUAAAAUUUGCUGUUAACGUUUUCUUGUAAAGUAUUUUUGUCAAAUUUUUUGUAUACAAUAUAUUUUUUGUAUGUUCAUUUUUUUAAAAAAAUUGUAAUAUUUUCAUGGAUUGAUUUACUUUUCUAGAAA